AUGCCAGAAAUAGAUAAAGAAGUGAUCCGAAAGGCUUUUUUAUGGUUGUCUUUACAUCCAGUCCUGUGGCCAGAUC
RNAcentral lists this transfer RNA (76 nucleotides) under Shewanella putrefaciens. RNAcentral's name for it is "tRNA-Val". Lineage: Bacteria; Pseudomonadati; Pseudomonadota; Gammaproteobacteria; Alteromonadales; Shewanellaceae. The record is from RNAcentral.